RNAcentral lists this small nuclear RNA (103 nucleotides) under Delphinapterus leucas (beluga whale). The record is from RNAcentral. Lineage: Eukaryota; Metazoa; Chordata; Mammalia; Artiodactyla; Monodontidae.
UUGCUUCAGCAGCACAUAUACUAAAAUUGUAAUGAUACAGAGAAGAUUACCAUGGCCCCUGCACAAGGAUGACAUGCAAAUUCGUGAAGCGUUCCAUAUUUUU